Molecule: long non-coding RNA, 1441 nt
Organism: Drosophila virilis
Lineage: Eukaryota; Metazoa; Arthropoda; Insecta; Diptera; Drosophilidae
Source: RefSeq, a predicted model, not a curated record
UAGAGAAAAAUUUGCCUAAAUUGUCAAAAAUUCCUUAAUUUUAAAUACAAAACUUAUCUUGAGCUCAAAUCAUGUCCAAAAUAGAUUUGUAGACAAAGAAAUGCGUAAGAAAAUUUGUAAUGAAGCUUUAACAAGUCAAUAUUUAAAGUCUUGAGAGCAAAUUAACCACUGAAGCGAUUGAUUCUAAUUUGUAAGGUUGGAUAAGAGAAGAAGAUGUCUUUGUCAACUGGGAAAGUGCUCGAAAAUUAUAUGGAUAGCAUAUGUUCAGUUUCUGGAUGAUUGCAUUUGAAUUUGAUGCUUUGAAUUUCAAUUCGCAAAUGUGUGUGAGAGAGGUGGAGGAGGGGGGAGGCGGGACAUACCCCUUUUUUACCAUCUCUCAAAUAAAUGUAUGUCUGUGACGAGCUGCCUUUGUUGUCAAGUGAAGACAAACAUUUAACCAAAGAAAAACAAGAGUGCAAGAGUCGGAAUAUGCACGACUACAAGAUACCCUACACAUACAGACAGGCACACGCGCAUCUUCUAUCCUCUUUUCUUCCUUUCUCAACACUAAGCAUGAAAAAAAAAACAUCCCUGCUUCUCAGAUCAGAAAUAGGGCAUCAAAAUGUGUGUAAAUACCAAAGCCCAAGCUUCAAAUUUGUUGCCUGUAGCUCUGAAAAUUUCUGAGAUAUAAACAAAAACGCAAAAAUCGAUAACAUUUGGUUAUCGAUUUAUCGAGAAUGGGAUCUUUUGGCUCUCUCUCUCAAGCCAAGCUACCCCAUUUACCCGUUUACAGGGCAUAAGACAAAGAAAAAGCUGCCAACACAAUUGAAUUACAAUGAAAAUAUGAAAUGAGCGACAAAAGCAAAGUUUUGUCUAGUUUUCUUCUACGUUUUUUUUUUUUUUUUGGUUUUUGUCCUUCGGGCGGCAAAAAUUAAGCAAACAAAUGCGAGAAGCGACAAAGAAACAAAGCGAAAAUAAGUGGAAACACAUGGAAAAUUGAAAAAAAAAAACUCUAAAGUGUGAGCGCUGCAAACAAAUAUAACUAGAAGCUGGACCCGUAAAAAAAUCCCAAAUUCAAUAUUUGCGCAUACAAACAAAUGCGUGUCCCUAGACGAGGAGCCCGCCCCCCUGAUGAGGUCAGUGCAAACAAGACGAACAAAAUGUGGCAAAGUGCUCAACGCUGUGGGCUAUAGGGAAAACGAAAGCAAGAGUCCGCACGACUAGCAGAUACCCUGUAGCCAGUUUCGAGCUGUCAAUUGAACUUUCUUCGCACUUCGAACUUCCUUCUACAACACACACACACACACACAGAAACAAUUCCCAGUCCUGUUUAUGCUUCUUCUUUCCCUCAGGUUCACUCUAUGAAAAAGUUAAUCUUUAAUAACUUUGUUGCUCUUAGUCCGAUUCUUAUGAAAUUUUCGGAGCUUUAAAAUAACAUUCAACUCUUGUUGCAUACAAAAAA